CCUACGGGUGGCAGCAGUGAGGAAUAUUUGUCAAUGGGCGCAAGCCUGAACCAGCCAAGUCGCGUGAGGGAAGACGGCCCUACGGGUUGUAAACCUCUUUUGCCGGGGAGCAAGCCUUAGCACGUGUGCCCAGGCUGAGCGUACCCGGAGCAAAAGCAUCGGCUAACUCCGUGCCAGCAGCCGCGGUAAUACGGAGGAUGCGAGCGUUAUCCGGAUUUACUGGGUGUAAAGGGGGCGCAGGCGGGCUGUUAAGCCGGCGAUGAAAAUUCAGGGCUAAACUCUGUCUAGCCGUCGGAACUGGCAGUCUAGAGUGGACGAGAGGUAUGCGGAAUGCGAGGGGGAGCGGUGGAAUGCAUAGAUAUCACGAAGAACUCCGAUUGCGAAGGCAGCAUACCGGCGCUCAACUGACGCUCAUGCACGAAAGUGUGGGUAUCGAACAGGAUUAGAUACCCGGGUAGUC
RNAcentral lists this ribosomal RNA (460 nucleotides) under uncultured bacterium. RNAcentral describes it as "partial 16S ribosomal RNA". It matches the Rfam family "Bacterial small subunit ribosomal RNA", at positions 338 to 795 of the family's 1533-position model. The record is from RNAcentral.